Molecule: ribosomal RNA, 253 nt
Filed under: uncultured bacterium
Lineage: Bacteria
Description: partial 16S ribosomal RNA
Rfam family: Bacterial small subunit ribosomal RNA
Source: RNAcentral
UACGUAGGGUGCAAUCGUUGUCCGGAAUUAUUGGGCGUAAAGAGCUCGUAGGCGGUCUGUCGCGUCUGCUGUGAAAACUCAGGGCUUAACCCUGAGCUUGCAGUGGGUACGGGCAGACUAGAGUGCGGUAGGGGAGACUGGAAUUCCUGGUGUAGCGGUGAAAUGCGCAGAUAUCAGGAGGAACACCGGUGGCGAAGGCGGGUCUCUGGGCCGUAACUGACGCUGAGGAGCGAAAGCAUGGGGAGCGAACAGG